This is a non-coding RNA of Pelobates cultripes (western spadefoot toad), 351 nucleotides long. The record is from the annotation of a GenBank genome assembly. NCBI's taxonomy places the organism in Eukaryota, Metazoa, Chordata, Amphibia, Anura, Pelobatidae.
CACACACACACCCAUCAUCCAGCACACACACACCCAUCAUCCAGCACUCACACACACACACAUCAUCCAGCACUCACACACACAUCAUCCAGCACUCACACACACAUCAUCCAGCACUCACACAAACACCCAUCAUCCCGCACACACACCCAUCAUCCAGCACACACACACACAUCAUCCAGCACACACACACACAUCAUCCAUCACUCACACACCCAUCAUCCAGCACACACACACAAAUCAUCCAUCACUCACACACCCAUCAUCCAGCACUCACACACCCAUCAUCCAGCACACACACACACAUCAUCCAGCACCCACACACCCAUCAUCCAGCACUCACACACCCAU